RNAcentral lists this transfer RNA (73 nucleotides) under Streptomyces olivochromogenes. RNAcentral describes it as "tRNA-Arg". Lineage: Bacteria; Bacillati; Actinomycetota; Actinomycetes; Kitasatosporales; Streptomycetaceae. The record is from RNAcentral.
ACGGGCUACUCCGGAUUCAGGAUCGUGCGCUUCUGCCGCACGGACCGGAGUUCUUCAACCUCGUGUCCGUGCC